GAUGAACGCUGGCGGCGUGCUUAACACAUGCAAGUCGAACGGAAAGGCUCCUGCUUGCAGGGGUACUCGAGUGGCGAACGGGUGAGUAACACGUGGGUGAUCUGCCCUGCACUUCGGGAUAAGCCUGGGAAACUGGGUCUAAUACCGGAUAGGACCACAUUUUGGAUGGUGUGGUGGAAAGUUUUUCGGUGUGGGAUGAGCUCGCGGCCUAUCAGCUUGUUGGUGGGGUAAUGGCCUACCAAGGCGUCGACGGGUAGCCGGCCUGAGAGGGUGUACGGCCACAUUGGGACUGAGAUACGGCCCAGACUCCUACGGGAGGCAGCAGUGGGGAAUAUUGCACAAUGGGCGCAAGCCUGAUGCAGCGACGCCGCGUGGGGGAUGACGGCCUUCGGGUUGUAAACUCCUUUCGCUAGGGACGAAGCGCAAGUGACGGUACCUGGAGAAGAAGCACCGGCUAACUACGUGC
Molecule: ribosomal RNA, 466 nt
Filed under: uncultured bacterium
Lineage: Bacteria
Description: partial 16S ribosomal RNA
Rfam family: Bacterial small subunit ribosomal RNA
Source: RNAcentral